Molecule: long non-coding RNA, 213 nt
Filed under: Pelobates cultripes (western spadefoot toad)
Lineage: Eukaryota; Metazoa; Chordata; Amphibia; Anura; Pelobatidae
Source: RNAcentral
GGAUCCUUUGCAACAAACACACAGGGCAGGGAAGAUGUGCUGAUUGGUGUUUCUAUACAAUUAAUCCCAUAUGGGGAAUUAACUUUCAAAUACUAAUGAAGUGACUUUUUUGUCUCAGUUAUAAAAUAUACUGAGCUCAUCAUGCAAACAAUGUAACACAUUUACACUAUCCCACUCUCAUAAUAAGUGUAGUGGGCUUAUAGUAUUUUUUAA